GCUAGCAACAAUAUUACCCUUGAGUAAUCUGAUACCAUCUGAUUUUGGAAGCUAAGCAGAGUUGGAGCUAUCUAGUACUUGAAUGGGAGACCAGGGAUCUCCAGGCAGGGAAAGAA
Molecule: ribosomal RNA, 116 nt
Filed under: Pogona vitticeps (central bearded dragon)
Lineage: Eukaryota; Metazoa; Chordata; Lepidosauria; Squamata; Agamidae
Source: RNAcentral